AACAAGUGUGGCGUCCGGCGGUUUCCCACAAAUCGCAUUACCGCCCGAUGGUAGGGGUCUACCGCCCGGUGGUUUCCCUCAAAUCGCAAAACCGCCCAACGCCAAUGCCAGGUGCCUACUCCUCACCCUGGACCGCCCGACGAUGGAAUUUGCCACUGGCGUGGCGUCGACUCUUCAAUUCUUCAAUUUUCUUCUCUUUCCUUGAGCUACGACCUUUAUCUUCA
Molecule: long non-coding RNA, 224 nt
Filed under: Vigna radiata
Lineage: Eukaryota; Viridiplantae; Streptophyta; Magnoliopsida; Fabales; Fabaceae
Description: long non-coding RNA (VRAD_LNC016286)
Source: RNAcentral